Molecule: ribosomal RNA, 504 nt
Filed under: uncultured bacterium
Lineage: Bacteria
Description: bacterial SSU rRNA
Rfam family: Bacterial small subunit ribosomal RNA
Source: RNAcentral
GAGUUUGAUCCUGGCUCAGGACGAACGCUGGCGGCGCGCCUAACACAUGCAAGUCGAACGAGAGAGAGGGAGCUUGCUUCCUUGAUCGAGUGGCGAACGGGUGAGUAACGCGUGAGUAACCUGCCCUAGAGUGGGGGACAACAGUUGGAAACGACUGCUAAUACCGCAUAAGCCCACGGUGCCGCAUGACACUGAGGAAAAAGGAUUUAUUCGCUUCAGGAUGGACUCGCGUCCAAUUAGCUAGUUGGUGAGGUAACGGCCCACCAAGGCGACGAUUGGUAGCCGGACUGAGAGGUUGAACGGCCACAUUGGGACUGAGACACGGCCCAGACUCCUACGGGAGGCAGCAGUGGGGGAUAUUGCACAAUGGGGGAAACCCUGAUGCAGCGACGCCGCGUGGAGGAAGAAGGUUUUCGGAUUGUAAACUCCUGUCGUUAGGGACGAUAAUGACGGUACCUAACAAGAAAGCACCGGCUAACUACGUGCCAGCCGCCGCGGUAAUAC